UAAAAAAAAAAAAAGUAUUGUAUUUGUUCACAUUUUUUUUUGGCAUAAGAUAAAAACAAUAAACCUAUACAAGUCAAUAAUUUACACAUAAUGAAUUUCAAGACUAAAUGUGACAACGAACAUGACAUUCUUUGAACAUGCUUACAAUGACAAAAUGAACUAAAGUCUGCUUUAAAAAGACAAGUGUUUAUCAAAACUAUUUCCUUUUCCUACGUCUCCAGCACUCACCCCAAGGACGUACACACAUCUGUUUCGACCCCCUUACAAUAUUGACACAGGUGAAAAAGGGGCAGAUAACAAGCAAGGGGAGUUAGUCUAUUUAUCAAUGCCGAGUUAUCAGUUGGAUUACCAAGCAAAUAAGGUCAAUGCUCUAGAGGGACUAGCCCAAAAAGAAGCGUGAAGGGGGCGUUCGAAUCAAGCACCCCACUAAUCAGUUCUCCAGCCUGAUCUUGAAUAAAACAUUCUUCAGCAGCCAAAUCUCAUUUUCUGAAAUCCACGCGGGAGCAUCCUCGCCCGCCUUUCCCUCUCGUUUAAUCUCAAUUUUCACUGACCAGUGCCCAGUAGCAUUCAGUGGAAGUCUUCUAUUUCUCCAGUGGUCACCCUUGAGCCUGUCUUCAUUUGUUGUCUCCUACUGGUCACUGGUCAGGGAAACUUAUUGGCUUUACCCGUCUACCAACUGCCGACCUCACACUAGGCUUUGUUGGCCUUUAAACAUUGGCCCAUCACUCAAUUCAUGUUACAUUCUCCAUUCAUCGUAGUCCUUGAGUCUAAAUCUUCUUUCUUCUCUCUCUCUCACACAAGCAUACAUAAACACACACACACAAGCAAUGAAAUAAUUAAGUUGGGGGGGGGGGGGG
Biomphalaria pfeifferi is the source of this 857-nucleotide non-coding RNA. NCBI's taxonomy places the organism in Eukaryota, Metazoa, Mollusca, Gastropoda, Planorbidae. The record is from the annotation of a GenBank genome assembly.